RNAcentral lists this ribosomal RNA (694 nucleotides) under uncultured Actinomycetaceae bacterium. RNAcentral's name for it is "partial 16S ribosomal RNA". It matches the Rfam family "Bacterial small subunit ribosomal RNA", at positions 100 to 776 of the family's 1533-position model. The record is from RNAcentral. Lineage: Bacteria; Bacillati; Actinomycetota; Actinomycetes; Actinomycetales; Actinomycetaceae.
CAGGGUGAGAAUAAACAUAUGGACAUGUGCCCAAUCGUGGGGGUAAAGCGCAGCAAACUCUGUCCUAAUCCCCGUAUGAUAUCUGGAGGUAAAACGCGGGAGUUGCGCAACCCCUUCGCGAAUAUGGAGCGCCCAUAGCACAUUUUUAGAUAGUUGGGUGGUGUAAAGUCUCCCCCACCCCUGUAUAUCUGUCUGUUGUCUGAGAGGGACCCCCCAGCCACUGGGGGGUGGGGGACGCGGCCCAGUCUCCUAUGGGAGGCAACAGUGGAGAAUUUUGGACAAUGGGAGAAAGCCUGAUCCAGCCAUGCCGCGUGCAGGAUAAAGGCCUUCGGGUUGAAAACUUUUUUUGUGGGAAAAAAAAGGCCUUUUUCUUAUAAAGAGGGCUAAUGACGGUACCGUAAGAAUAAGCACCGGCUAACUACGUGCCAGCAGCCGCGGUAAUACGUAGGGCGCAAGCGUUAAUCGGAAUUACUGGGCGUAAAGCGUGCGCAGGCGGUUAUGUAAGACAGUUGUGAUAUCCCCGGGCUCAACCUGGGAACUGCAUCUGUGACUGCAUAGCUAGGGUACGGUAGAGGGGGAUGGAAUUCCGCGUGUAGCAGUGAAAUGCGUAGAUAUGCGGAGGAACACCGAUGGCGAAGGCAAUCCCCUGGACCUGUACUGACGCUCAUGCACGAAAGCGUGGGGAGCAAACAAG